This 497-nucleotide ribosomal RNA is filed under the name uncultured bacterium. RNAcentral's name for it is "partial 16S ribosomal RNA". It matches the Rfam family "Bacterial small subunit ribosomal RNA", at positions 28 to 507 of the family's 1533-position model. The record is from RNAcentral.
GAUGAACGCUGGCGGCGUGCCUAAUACAUGCAAGUCGAGCGAACAAACGAGGAGCUUGCUCCUUUGACGUUAGCGGCGGACGAGUGAGGAGCACGUAGGUAAUCUACCGAUAAGACUGGGAGAACUACGGGAAACCGGAGCGACUACUGGGUAAUAUUCCGAACCGCAUGGUUCGAUAGUGAAAGAAGGAUUUGCUAUCGCUUGUGGAUGGACCUGCGCCGUAUUAGCUAGUUGGUAGGGUAACGGCUUACCAAGGCAACGAUGCGUAGCCGACCUGAGAGGGUGAUCGGCCACACUAGAACUGAGACACGACCGCGACUACUACGGCGGGCAGCAGUAGGGAAUCUUCCGCAAUGGGCGGAAGCCUGACGGUGCAACGCCGCGUGAUUGAUGAUGGUCUUCUGAUCGUUAAACUCUGUUAUCAGGGAAGAACAAACGUUUAAUUAUCUGUGCACGGCUUGACGGUACCUAAUCAGAAAGCCACGGCUAACUACGUG